UCAUCUCGUGUAUGGUAGGUAGCAACGGACUGUUUUCAGAUAACGCCACAUGGUACAUUGGUCCCUGUUUCACGUUCCUCUUCAAUGACAUUUUGGUGGCUGGACUCUUACUUCUGCAGAGCAGAGGAGGACCUCAUGAGCUGAAUUCUAUAAAGCUUUGGACUGAGAUUUCUCACUCAGCUGAUUCAUCUUUCCUACUCUCACAGCCUGUGUUUGCACUUGAAGAAGAAACUAGAGGGAAGGAAGGUCAUGGGAGGUUACUCCAGAAGAGCUUGAGUCUUUGAGGCCGAGACCCUUCACGCUAACAUCGUUAAGCAGAGCAUUUCCUAAUGAACAUUUUCAGCAUCCACUGAAGAGACAGCUUUACCCCAAAAGGGGAUCAAAACUCACCGACCCAGGGGUUUCCUCGGGGCGCACCAUGACUUACCCGUGUCAGAUGCUUACACUGGUGGGAAGACCCCAGCCUCGUCAUACCUGAGAACACCAGAUACUCAGCUCACAGCAAAAACAAAACGAACAAGUAACCUCCACAUGACCUUGUAGGAAAGACAAUGAGAGUUUUCACUAUGAAGAUUUAAGGUAAAGUUUUGGACUCGGCCUAGAGUGCUCAUAGAGCAUCCUUAAGGAAAGCUUUUUAUUUGGAUAUGAAAUAACUGGAGGUCAGAGAAUUCAAGGGGCACAACGGCCACGACAAAGUACUGAAGUGCGAGGCCACGGCACCCUCCUGGGGGCGCAGGGGAAGGGCUCCUUGCCUGACUUCCAGUUGCGUCGCCUGGCUGCCGUCAUCCCUCCCCUCCCCCCAUCUCAUUGACGUCGGCCAGCUGUGGGGGCCCAGGAGGCGGGAGGCUGUGGGGCUGGAGACUUGCUCCCUUUGAAAAUGGAGGCUCCACCUGCAAGG
Molecule: non-coding RNA, 898 nt
Organism: Leptonychotes weddellii (Weddell seal)
Lineage: Eukaryota; Metazoa; Chordata; Mammalia; Carnivora; Phocidae
Source: RefSeq, a predicted model, not a curated record